UCCUGUUAACAAGUCAUUUAUUGUUUCUAUGCCUUAAAAGCUAUUCAAGGAUUGUUCUAUAGUGUUGUGUUUUUCAUGAGUUUUAUUGGUCGAAUACGUGACAUUUUUUACGCCCCUAGUAAAAAAAAUAAAUAGGCCUACAAAAGAGAGGAACAGCUGACGGGCAAAAGCGCUCCCUGCAUGAAGUAUGCUAGGCCAAAACAGCUUGUAAAACGAGCAUGCUUCUUUAAGGUCACUAUGACACAUUUUCACCAAUAACGUGUUUUAAAUGCUCGGAUGUAGCGUAAUAAACAACAAUUAAUCAACGCAAAAGGAAAGGAGUCAAUGUUAAAGAGAAACAGUUUUGAUUCUGCAGUCAUUGCCCAAAUCGGGAUAGGGCCAAACAAUUGGUUCAGAACAAAACAUGUGGUUCAUUUCUAAAAUAAGCCAAUAAAUAAUUAAUAUAACUAUGUUAAUACAUUUGCUCCCUAAUAUUCUUGUAAAAUGUAAUUAAAUAGGGCUAAGCCUCUUGUGUAGGCUAAAUAGCGCAUACAAAACUAAAGAAAAGAGAUGGCUCAAGGAACUACACUGGACUUCAUUCAAAAUGAGAACCACAUAUCAUGAGGCCACAUUUAUUGUAGCUGUGAAUUGUAGCAAAGCAAAUUUGAGAAAAAUGCUAUCGAAGUUCUAUCAACACCUUGCCUGUAGGACUCGUUUAGGGAAAACACUAGCAACUCGCCUUUUCGCAAUGUCUACAAGACCCUCCCCCGCCAAACCAGAUCACGACUCCAUUUUGCUCCUCCCUUCAUAUAGGCAGAAACUCAAACAGGAAGUACUAGUGCUAAGGUCUAUUCAACACUGGUCUGACCAAUCGAAAUCCAUGCUUCAAGAUAGUUUUGAUCACGUGGACUGGGAUAUGUUCUGGGGUUGGGUUGGUUUCGGGUAGCCUCUGAGUAUAGCCACGGGAAAGUGACUGGGAAUAUGGUCGUCAGUACAGAGACAAAGUGGAGGCGCAAUUCAAGGGCUCAGACACGGGACGUAUGUGGCAGGGUCUACAGAUCAUCACGGAUUACAAAGGGAAAACCAGCCACGUCGCGGACACCUAUGUCUUGCUCCCAGACAAGCUAAACACCUUCUUCGCCCGUUUUGAGGAUAACACAGUGCCACCGACGCGGCCCGCUCCCAAGGACUGUGGGCUCUCGUUCUCCGUGGCCGAAGUGAAUAAGACAUUUAAGCGUGUUACCUUUGCAAGGCUGGCCGCGUCCUCAGAGCAUGCGUGGACCAGCUGGCUGGAGUGUAAACUGACAUAUUCAAUCUCUCCCUAUCCCCGCUUGCUUCAAGAUGUCUACCAUUGUUCCUGUACCCAAGACAGCAAAGAGCCACAGACGAUGCAAUCGCCAUUGCACUGCACACUGCCCUAUCCCAUCUGGACAAGAGGAAUACCUACGUCCGAAUGCUGUUCAUUGACUAUAGCUCAGCCUUUAACACCAUAGUACCCUCCAAGCUCAUCAUUAAGCUCUGGGCCCUGGGUCUAAACCCCGCCCUGUGCUACUGGGUCCGGGACAUCCUGACAGCAGCCCCCAGAUGGUGAAGGUAGGAAACAACUCCACUUCACUGAUCCUCAACACAGGGCCCCCACACGGGUGGGUGCUCAGCCCCCUCCUGUACGCCCUGUUCACCCAUGACUGCAUAGCCAUGCACGCCUCCAAUCGUCAAGUUAGCAGACGACACAAUAGCAGUAGGCCUGAUUACCAACAAUGACGAGACAGUUCACCCCGCCGGUUCACCCUGCUGUCAUCUAGAAGGCUAGGUCAGUACAGGUUCAUCAAAACUGGGACCGAGAGACUGAAAAUCAGCUAUCUCAAGGCCAUCAGACUGUUAAAUAGCCAUCACUAGCAGGGUACCACCCGGCUACUCAACCCUGCACCAUGGAGGCUGCUGCCCCAUAUAUUAUAGACAUGUUUGAAUUCUAGAAACACCGGCCACUUUAAAUAAUGGAACACUAGUCACUUUAAUAAUGUUUACAUACUGCUUUACUCAUCUCAUAUGUAUAUACUGUAUUCUAUUCUACUGUAUUUAGUCAAUGCCACUCCGACAUUGCUCGUCCUAAAAUGUAUAUUUAUAUAUUUAUUAAUUCCAUUCUUUGACUUUUAGAUUUUUGUAUUGUUGUGAAUUGUUAGAUACUACUGCACUGUCGGAGCUAGGAACACCAGCAUUUCGCUACACACGCAAUAACAUCUGCUAAAUAUGUGUAUGUGACCAAUAAAAUUUGAUUUGGUUUUUGAAUUAAAGGUAUACAUGAAUAACCAUAGGUCUAUACAUUAUGAGAAUAACUGCCUUUAUAUUACAGCAGUAACAAACACCAACACGAAGUACAACUUCUAUAGGAAUAACCUACUCACCGAUGAUGAAAAUAACUGAUAUUCCCAAAUAUUGAAGCGUUGUCAUUUUCCAGUUCUCUACUGCUGGGACUUUAACAGUCUAUUGACUUGCUUUACAUUCGCACCUCUGGAGCGCAUCCGUCUCUGUCUCAACUAAGUGGAAUGGCACUUUCAGCCAAUCCGAUUCUGGGGGCGAGCUUUUCUGCACAACACCUGCAGUUCUAGUUCACCUCAGAAUCGCUCGUCUUAGCCCGCCCAGAGUGGCUCGCUUUUGGGCAGCAUAUAGCAGCACUUUCGGUUGUGCUUCAAGAAUGCAGCAUAGCAAGUUCGUAUGAAGGUCUGGUUAUUAAAUGGGUAAAUAGUUCACGUUACAUAGUAAUAUGGUCUAAAACGCUCUGGUGACAAACGUUGCUGCCCUGUUUCCAAUCGUCCACAUGACUGGGAGGACCUAUUCAAGUACUAGUAAGUAAAUACAUUUCUAAAAUGUUUUCCCAAAACAUGUUUUAUUUGCUAACUAGCAACAGUGCGGGCUAACUCAAAUGAGCUGCUAACGUAGCUAACACUAGUUAGCUAUCUAGCCGACUUUACAUACUGUAUAGAUAGAUAUUUAAUAAUUUUUUAUAUCACCAGCUGCCCAACUUCAUAUUGGCUAGCUAUCUUGAUGUAUUUAGCACUGUUAAAAAAAAAUACAAAUGAAUUUGUAGGUAACGUUAGCUUGCUAACAGCCAUGGAGGAGGGUGAAAGGAUAGCAGCCCCAACUGUCAAAGUGAGAGGUACCUUUGUGUAGUUCCAGGCCCUAGAAGUGAGGAGGGAGAUAAUGGUAACAUAAUAUUCAGUGUAGUCUAAUUUGAGUAUAAUGAAGUCUGUUUCUUGUUAAGAUUUCUGUUCUCGGAUACAGAGAGCUCUGAAAGCCUGUCUACAUAUGAGGUCCCAAUAAAGAGCAGUGGUUUUCAGUCUUGGUGCUGGGGACUCAAAGGGGUGCACAUUUUUGUUUUUACCUUAGCACUGCACAGCAGAUUCAAAUGGUCAACUCAUCAAGCUUCAAGUGGUAUUUAUGUAUUCAUUUGUGACGCUGUCCUUGAUUUGAUCCUGCUUGUUCACAUGCAUCUAUCAAUCCAAUGUUAUCAUGACUUGUUGUAAGGGAUAUUAUACUUUAGUAAUCCACAAUGACCUGGUGAUGUAAAUGUCUAAAUUACUAUCUUCCAUAUUCCUGCAGUUACUUUGUAACUGGAGAUUCCUGCCUACAGUUACCAUUUAGGGCACUGCAAGGUUUGGUGACCAGGGCCAUCUGGGACUGCCUCCUGGUGGAAUUCAAGCGUGUGAAGGCAACCUGUGUCCUGCAUAACUUCAUGAGGAUGGACACGAGGACCAGGAGGGGAUCUGUAGCUCGCUGCUGUGUGCCAGAGGAGAAGUCUGCCGCUCUGCAGGAUGUUUCAAGGAUGGGGUCCAACAACUCAGCAAGAGAGGCAAUCUGUGUGCGGGUGAUCUUUGUUCCCUGAGGUCGUCUUAAGUGACCGAGGUCGUGAACUCUGGAACAAGGCCGGGCACCUGGCAGCAUUUCCCAGUCCCGAUUCCAGUCCCCGUCCUGGGUCCAGGCCUCCCAAGGUGUCCACACCCCACACAGAGGUCAGCGUCCACUGCUACUGUCGGAAAUACGUGAGAAAGGGUAAGGAGGUGGCCCAGUGCAGGAGAUGCGGCAAGCAUUUUCAUGUGUCUUAAUAACCUGUUGUAAUAUUGUUUUAAAUUUGUAUGAAGAUGUUUUUUUUUCAGACAUUGGCUGUGAAGUUGGUAAGUUGUUUGGUAAGUAUAUAGCACAUGUGUCUGUCUUGUAUUCCAAGUAACAUUUACAAGCAUUUGUAUGUUUUUCCAUUUGUUUGCUGGUAAAUAUUUGAAACUUGCUCAAAUUAGCUGUAAAUGUCGACACUUGCGUAUUAAAUGUAUUAAUUGCAAGUAACAUUUUCAGUUGACUGAAAUUGACUGUUCAGUUACAGAUUUACUGGUCCAUAAUCCCUUCUCCCAUUGCCCAACAAUCUGCCCAUUUAUCCCAUCCCCUCCAUCUCCUUACAUAAUCUAAAUCUACUGCUAUUGUCAUUAUCUGCUAAUAAAGUUUGCUAGUAGUAUCAUACUGGGCAUAUAACAUGUGAGAUACAGAGAUGAACUAAAAACACUAGCGCUGCACACACUCAGAACAAAGAGAGCAGCAGUUCCUGGACUUCGCAGUCUCCCUCCAAGUCCCUCUUCCGAGACUGUCUGUUGAGAAGUGACAGGCAGAACCUCCUAACCACACAGCACCCACCUCUUUAUUUCACACACCAGAAUUAUGUAUUUCAUUCUGAUUGCCAUGUGAGUGUACCAAAAAGAAUCUGAAAAUAAAUGACACAACUGUACCAAAAACUAUCAAAGUUUAUGUAUUAAAAUUGUCUGGUUGGUUUUCACAAGUG
Non-coding RNA from Salmo salar (Atlantic salmon), 4801 nucleotides. Lineage: Eukaryota; Metazoa; Chordata; Actinopteri; Salmoniformes; Salmonidae. The record is from RefSeq and is a predicted model, not a curated record.